UACAGAGGGUGCAAGCGUUGUUCGGAAUUAUUGGGCGUAAAGGGAGUGUAGGCGGCUAUUUAAGUCUUCUGUGAAAGCUACGGGCUCAACCCGUUAAAGUGCAGAGGAUACUGGGUGGCUUGAGUGUCGGAGAGGAUAGUGGAAUUCCGCGUGUAGCAGUGAAAUGCGUAGAGAUGCGGAGGAACACCGAUGGCGAAGGCAGCCCCCUGGGCUGACACUGACGCUCAGGCACGAAAGCGUGGGGAGCAAACAGG
RNAcentral lists this ribosomal RNA (254 nucleotides) under uncultured bacterium. RNAcentral describes it as "partial 16S ribosomal RNA". It matches the Rfam family "Bacterial small subunit ribosomal RNA", at positions 524 to 776 of the family's 1533-position model. The record is from RNAcentral.